RNAcentral lists this transfer RNA (76 nucleotides) under Caulobacteraceae bacterium. RNAcentral's name for it is "tRNA-Asn". It matches the Rfam family "tRNA". Rfam says of the family: Transfer RNA (tRNA) molecules are approximately 80 nucleotides in length. Their secondary structure includes four short double-helical elements and three loops (D, anti-codon, and T loops). Further hydrogen bonds mediate the characteristic L-shaped molecular structure. tRNAs have two regions of fundamental functional importance: the anti-codon, which is responsible for specific mRNA codon recognition, and the 3' end, to which the tRNAs corresponding amino acid is attached (by aminoacyl-tRNA synthetases). tRNAs cope with the degeneracy of the genetic code in two manners: having more than one tRNA (with a specific anti-codon) for a particular amino acid; and 'wobble' base-pairing, i.e. permitting non-standard base-pairing at the 3rd anti-codon position. The record is from RNAcentral. Lineage: Bacteria; Pseudomonadati; Pseudomonadota; Alphaproteobacteria; Caulobacterales; Caulobacteraceae.
UCCCUGGUAGCUCAGUUGGUAGAGCAGUCGGCUGUUAACCGACUUGUCACAGGUUCGAGUCCUGUCCAGGGAGCCA